AUGAUCUCAUACAAUGUCCUAGCCAAAAACAUUUUUUCAAGGAAAACAAAAUUGGUGAAACUCCGAUUCGAGGACACAUCAUUUUUUAAACAGGAUAGGAUAAUGUGAGCAUAGAUAUAGAUCAUGAAAGGGACAACAAAGAGAAGAUGAGUGACAGCCAAGCCCAAAAGAAUGGAGAAGUUAGCUGUCAAGAGGGGAAGUUUCAGGAAGAUAACUACCAUGAGGAUCCAACCUACGACAAAGCCCAAUCUACAAGAGAUGAAAUCGGUCAAGGAAGAAAC
This 281-nucleotide long non-coding RNA is filed under the name Carica papaya (papaya). RNAcentral's name for it is "long non-coding RNA (CPAP_LNC011843)". Lineage: Eukaryota; Viridiplantae; Streptophyta; Magnoliopsida; Brassicales; Caricaceae. The record is from RNAcentral.